Molecule: transfer RNA, 73 nt
Filed under: Harpegnathos saltator (Jerdon's jumping ant)
Lineage: Eukaryota; Metazoa; Arthropoda; Insecta; Hymenoptera; Formicidae
Rfam family: tRNA
About the family: Transfer RNA (tRNA) molecules are approximately 80 nucleotides in length.
Source: Rfam by way of RNAcentral
GAUUGGGUAGCUUAGUUUGUAGAGCGGUCGUCCGGCAAGCGGAAGGUCCCGAGUUCGAUUCCCGGCCCAGUCU